UAGUUCGGGCUCUAUCUGGCA
RNAcentral lists this non-coding RNA (21 nucleotides) under Arabidopsis thaliana (thale cress). The record is from RNAcentral. Lineage: Eukaryota; Viridiplantae; Streptophyta; Magnoliopsida; Brassicales; Brassicaceae.